Molecule: ribosomal RNA, 782 nt
Filed under: uncultured Bacteroidota bacterium
Lineage: Bacteria; Pseudomonadati; Bacteroidota
Description: bacterial SSU rRNA
Rfam family: Bacterial small subunit ribosomal RNA
Source: RNAcentral
CAGUCGAGGGGUAGAGUUAGCUUGCUAACUUGAGACCGGCGCACGGGUGCGUAACGCGUAUGCAAUCUACCUUUUGCAGAGGGAUAGCCCAGAGAAAUUUGGAUUAAUACCUCAUAGUAUAUAUGAAUGGCAUCAUUUAUAUAUUAAAGUCACAACGGCAAAAGAUGAGCAUGCGUCCCAUUAGCUAGAUGGUAAGGUAACGGCUUACCAUGGCUACGAUGGGUAGGGGUCCUGAGAGGGAGAUCCCCCACACUGGUACUGAGACACGGACCAGACUCCUACGGGAGGCAGCAGUGAGGAAUAUUGGACAAUGGGCGCAAGCCUGAUCCAGCCAUGCCGCGUGCAGGAUGACGGUCCUAUGGAUUGUAAACUGCUUUUGUACGGGAAGAAACCCUCCUACGUGUAGGAGCUUGACGGUACCGUAAGAAUAAGGAUCGGCUAACUCCGUGCCAGCAGCCGCGGUAAUACGGAGGAUCCAAGCGUUAUCCGGAAUCAUUGGGUUUAAAGGGUCCGUAGGCGGUUUAGUAAGUCAGUGGUGAAAGCCCAUCGCUCAACGGUGGAACGGCCAUUGAUACUGCUAAACUUGAACUAUUAGGAAGUAACUAGAAUAUGUAGUGUAGCGGUGAAAUGCUUAGAGAUUACAUGGAAUACCAAUUGCGAAGGCAGGUUACUACUAAUGGAUUGACGCUGAUGGACGAAAGCGUGGGUAGCGAACAGGAUUAGAUACCCUGGUAGUCCACGCCGUAAACGAUGGAUACUAGCUGUUGGGCGCAAGUUCAGUG